This 213-nucleotide long non-coding RNA is filed under the name Nicotiana benthamiana. Its description in RNAcentral is "long non-coding RNA (NBEN_LNC027422)". Lineage: Eukaryota; Viridiplantae; Streptophyta; Magnoliopsida; Solanales; Solanaceae. The record is from RNAcentral.
GCUUUCACUUGAUAUCCAAGACAAAUGUGAGGAUUGGUUUUCCACUUGAUAUGCAAGAACAAGUUUGUGCUCUCUCUCUCAAUGGGAGGAAGAAGAAGAAAAUGUCUUGCUUUCUUGUGGGAACCAUAACCCAACUUAUUAUAACAUGUAAGUUAUGAAACUCAAAGGUCACAAGAAUGUAACCUUGGUUACAUGUAUGUAACCUUAGUUAGC